UGGGGAAUCUUGCACAAUGGGCGAAAGCCUGAUGCAGCGACGCCGCGUGCGGGAUGAAGGCCUUCGGGUUGUAAACCGCUUUCAGCAGGGACGAGGCCGCAAGGUGACGGUACCUGCAGAAGAAGCCCCGGCUAACUACGUGCCAGCAGCCGCGGUAAUACGUAGGGGGCAAGCGUUAUCCGGAUUCAUUGGGCGUAAAGCGCGCGCAGGCGGCUACUUAAGUCCAUCUUAAAAGUGCGGGGCUUAACCCCGUGAUGGGAUGGAAACUGAGAAGCUGGAGUGUCGGAGAGGAAAGUGGAAUUCCUAGUGUAGCGGUGAAAUGCGUAGAGAUUAGGAAGAACACCGGUGGCGAAGGCGACUUUCUGGACGACAACUGACGCUUAGGCGCGAAAGCGUGGGGAGCAAACAGG
Molecule: ribosomal RNA, 410 nt
Filed under: Verrucomicrobiota bacterium
Lineage: Bacteria; Pseudomonadati; Verrucomicrobiota
Description: Verrucomicrobia bacterium partial 16S ribosomal RNA
Rfam family: Bacterial small subunit ribosomal RNA
Source: RNAcentral